RNAcentral lists this small RNA (451 nucleotides) under Pan troglodytes (chimpanzee). Its description in RNAcentral is "processed transcript". Lineage: Eukaryota; Metazoa; Chordata; Mammalia; Primates; Hominidae. The record is from RNAcentral.
GCUAACAGGGCUCCUCUCUCUGCCUCUCCAGGAUGAAGUGACACCCCCAGCUACAUCCGAGGAGGUUCCAGGACCUGCUACGAGGAGGACGGAGAAGGGAGGAGAUUCCCCGGCUCCCACCGCGGCAUCCCUUUUGGACUUCAAAGGCUCCCCCAGCAUUGUCUGCGCUGGCGGGCAGUGGCCCUGAAAACGUGAUCAGAGGCGGCCCGGUGUAGGGCAGGCCCGGCCCGCGCCCUGCGCUCUCACUGGGGCCGGUGGAUUCCUCCCUUUGCCGCCAGCACCACCCUGGUUACAGCUCCAUCCCGGGUCCUCUCGGCCUUUCUCUCCCUGGUGCCCCUUCUUGCUCCCUUCUGGCCACUCCCGUCCUCCUCUUAACCAUGGCCUCACCCCUGUCUCAUGGAGUUGAGAAUUCUAGAAUCUUCAGAGCUGCGAGCCUCCAUGCCUUCACAUG